CACCUGUCAUUCCUUUAAUAGAUGAAGAAUUAUAGGAUUCUUAAAUGUAUAUAUAUGGUACUCUACUCUUUGAAAUAAUACAUCAGAAUUAUUCUUUAAACCUUUUAUUACAAGCCGGUUUUGUGGGGUUGAGUUAGGCCUAAAACCCACUUCUAGCAUGGUAUCAGAGCUAUGGUUAAAGCCUAUCCUAGCGAUAUUUGUUGGGCAUAUUGUUCCACCCGCUAUUGGGCCGUUAUCGGACCACCCAUUAAUAUCUAGUCUCACGCUUGAGAUGUAUAUACCUCGGCGUGAGGGGGGUGUGUUGGAAGUCCCACAUCGACUAGAGAUAAGGCCAAUUUAUAAUAUAUAAGUGGGGUGCAGACCUCACCUUACAAGCCGGUUUUGUGGGGUUGAGUUAGGCCUAAAACCCACUUCUAACAUAUACAACACAGAUCCUAGCAUGUUAUCUUCUAGACUUGACUCGUCUGGACUUUAGAAUAAUAGUUGAGCUAUGGUGGGUCAUGCACCUGUGGUGGCUUGUGAUACUUAGGCUCACCCACCUUGGGCUCCCCCACCCUGGGCUCUCCCGCCUGCCACACUCACGAGGUUAGUAUGUUCCGCGCCCUAGAGCAUGA
Molecule: long non-coding RNA, 614 nt
Filed under: Vigna radiata
Lineage: Eukaryota; Viridiplantae; Streptophyta; Magnoliopsida; Fabales; Fabaceae
Description: long non-coding RNA (VRAD_LNC018403)
Source: RNAcentral